RNAcentral lists this ribosomal RNA (497 nucleotides) under uncultured bacterium. Its description in RNAcentral is "partial 16S ribosomal RNA". It matches the Rfam family "Bacterial small subunit ribosomal RNA", at positions 28 to 507 of the family's 1533-position model. The record is from RNAcentral.
GAUGAACGCUGGCGGCGUGCCUAAUACAUGCAAGUCGAGCGAACGGACGAGAAGCUUGCUUCUCUGAUGUUAGCGGCGGACGGGUGAGUAACACGUGGAUAACUUACCUAUAAGACUGGGAUAACUUCGGGAAACCGGAGCUAAUACCGGAUAAUAUUUUGAACCGAAUGGUUCAAAAGUGAAAGACGGUCUUGCUGUCACUUAUAGAUGGAUCCGUGCUGCAUUAGCUAGUUGGUAAGGUAACGGCUUACCAAGGCAACGAUGCAUAGCCGACCUGAGAGGGUGAUCGGCCACACUGGAACUGAGACACGGUCCAGACUCCUACGGGAGGCAGCAGUAGGGAAUCUUCCGCAAUGGGCGAAAGCCUGACGGAGCAACGCCGCGUGAGUGAUGAAGGUCUUCGGAUCGUAAAACUCUGUUAUUAGGGAAGAACAUAUGUGUAAGUAACUGUGCACAUCUUGACGGUACCUAAUCAGAAAGCCACGGCUAACUACGUG